CGCGGCCUAUCAGCUUGUUGGUGAGGUAACGGCUCACCAAGGCAUCGACGGGUAGCUGGUCUGAGAGGACGAUCAGCCACACUGGGACUGAGACACGGCCCAGACUCCUACGGGAGGCAGCAGUAGGGAAUCUUGCGCAAUGGGCGAAAGCCUGACGCUGCAUCGCCGCGUGGGGGAUGAAUGCCUUCGGGUUGUAAACCCCUUUCAGCAGGGACGAAAAUGACGGUACCUGCAGAAGAAGCUCCGGCCAACUACGUGCCAGCAGCCGCGGUAAUACGUAGGGAGCGAGCGUUGUCCGGAAUUAUUGGGCGUAAAGAGCUCGUAGGCGGUUCAGUAAGUCGGGUGUGAAAACUCAAGGCUCAACCUUGAGGCGCCACUCGAUACUGCUGUGACUUGAGUCCGGUAGAGGAGUGUGGAAUUCCUGGUGUAGCGGUGAAAUGCGCAGAUAUCAGGAGGAACACCAGCGGCGAAGGCGGCACUCUGGGCCGGUACUGACGCUGAGGAGCGAAAGCAUGGGGAGCAAACAGGAUUAGAUACCCUGGUAGUCCAUGCCGUAAACGUUGGGCACUAGGUAUGGGACCAUAUCAACGGGUUCCGUGCCGUAGCUAACGCAUUAAGUGCCCCGCCUGGGGAGUACGG
Molecule: ribosomal RNA, 639 nt
Filed under: uncultured Actinomycetes bacterium
Lineage: Bacteria; Bacillati; Actinomycetota; Actinomycetes
Description: bacterial SSU rRNA
Rfam family: Bacterial small subunit ribosomal RNA
Source: RNAcentral